RNAcentral lists this ribosomal RNA (250 nucleotides) under uncultured bacterium. Its description in RNAcentral is "partial 16S ribosomal RNA". It matches the Rfam family "Bacterial small subunit ribosomal RNA", at positions 524 to 773 of the family's 1533-position model. RNAcentral also lists the same sequence under 1 other name. The record is from RNAcentral.
UACGGAGGAUCCAAGCGUUAUCCGGAAUCAUUGGGUUUAAAGGGUCCGUAGGCGGUUUAAUAAGUCAGUGGUGAAAGCCCAUCGCUCAACGGUGGAACGGCCAUUGAUACUGUUAGACUUGAAUUAUUAGGAAGUAACUAGAAUAUGUAGUGUAGCGGUGAAAUGCUUAGAGAUUACAUGGAAUACCAAUUGCGAAGGCAGGUUACUACUAAUUGAUUGACGCUGAUGGACGAAAGCGUGGGUAGCGAAC